CCUACGUGUGGCAGCAGUGGGGAAUAUUGCACAAUGGGGGAAACCCUGAUGCAGCAACGCCGCGUGAGUGAAGAAGUAUUUCGGUAUGUAAAGCUCUAUCAGCAGGGAAGAAGAUGACGGUACCUGAGUAAGAAGCCCCGGCUAACUACGUGCCAGCAGCCGCGGUAAUACGUAGGGGGCAAGCGUUAUCCGGAUUUACUGGGUGUAAAGGGAGCGUAGACGGUGAGACAAGUCUGAAGUGAAAGCCCGGGGCGCAACCCCGGGACUGCUUUGGAAACUGCCUGACUGGAGUGCAGGAGAGGCAAGCGGAAUUCCUAGUGUAGCGGUGAAAUGCGUAGAUAUUAGGAAGAACACCAGUGGCGAAGGCGGCUUGCUGGACAGUAACUGACGUUGAGGCUCGAAAGCGUGGGGAGCAAACAGGAUUAGAUACCCGAGUAGUC
This 440-nucleotide ribosomal RNA is filed under the name uncultured bacterium. RNAcentral's name for it is "partial 16S ribosomal RNA". It matches the Rfam family "Bacterial small subunit ribosomal RNA", at positions 338 to 795 of the family's 1533-position model. The record is from RNAcentral.